UCACGUACCAGAAUCUAAUUGAGCAGUGAUGCAUGUUGCUAUUGUACUGCAAGGGCAGAACACAAAAAAUCACAUCGGCUUUGCCUUACCCACCUUUCAAACGGCUCGUUUUGAUGUAGGUCGAGACUCGAGUCAGCUUCCAUCUCAAAAAUUGUCUUCUGGAGAAGCUAGUGAUGGAGGGGGAACAUGGCGUCUGCCUAGUGCAACCUGAAUCAUUUGUCCAAAGACAUCAAGCUGAAGGCGUAUUUUGUGUAUGACCUACCAGAGAAUCCUAAAAUGAUCGUACGACCGAUGAUCUCUUCAUGAAUAUUCAAGCUUCUUGUCUAAUUGUCGUCUACAACUUGUUUGAGCAAGCUAUCACAAUAAAAGCUAACUCACCUUUUUCGUUACUGGUACUGUAUGUUUACCACUUUGGUGGAUUCUAGGGCUUGAGUAACCAUUGGGGCAAAACCAAUGCACUCAAUGGCAUAAUCCACACCAAGUCCACAAGUGAGGUCCUUCACCAAUUGAGAAGAAGGCUUAUCAGAAUGAUCAUUAGGAUUUAUGAAGUCUGUUAUCCCAAAAGCUUCUCCUUUUUCUUUCUUCUUCUCAUUUAUGUCAAUCCCAAUUAUCUUAGUCGCUCCCAUCAUCUUGGCACCACAUAUAGCCUGCAUCACAAGUAAUUUAAUUACCCAUUAAACAACAAGCUUUGUCAUGAUAAACUAUACUUAUGAAAACUAGAAAAGAAGUGCCUUUUUGUUUAUUUUUUAUUUUUUUGUUUUGGUAGAAGUAUAGCUUACCUCACUUAGUGAGAUAAGACUUGUUAUUGUCGUUUUGGUAAAAGCACUUACCCCUAAUCCAACAGCUCCCAGGCCAAAAACGGCCAUGGUUGAUCCACUUUGAAUUUGGGCUGUCUUCCAAGCAGCCCCAAAACCAGUAGAAAAUCCACAAGAGAUGAAGGUAGCAUGAGCCAAAUCAAUACUUGGAUCAACUUUCACAAGGCAUUAGCCCACUCACUGUGAAAGGAUAUCUCAUGCACAUGUUUGAUUCCUCUGAGAUACAGGUCUCACAUUCUUGACACUCUCCAAUGUAUGUUGGAAUCACUAAAUCUCCUACUUUCAGUGUGCGAGUGUUGUGAGGUUCAAUUCAAGUGGAUGAGAAUUAAAGAGUCUCACACAAGGAAAACCUCGAGCUCUCAAGAUGUCUGUGUGGCAAACACUAGCACAAAGAACCUUAACUCGAGCUUCAGAAGCUUUAGAUGGCUCUACUUUCGCGUUUGAAAGCAAGUUUGUAGCUGACUCCCUCAAUUUGUUAGAGAUGCGAGAAUCUCGAAUUGAAAUUGAACUCGACUUCGAGACAAGGAUAACUAAUACUAGUUUUGCUGCAUUCUCUCCUUUUGCAGUUCUGAAGGUAAUGAAAAUCUAUUACUGUAAAUCGUUUUACAUCUGCAUGUUAUCACUUGUUAUUGAUAGAAAAGGCUCACGCCAACACACACGACAAUUAGUUAAUCUAGAAAAUUAUAGAAAAAGGUUUCAGAAAUUACAGAAAAAAUAUAUAAAAUUACAAAUAAAUGUCCUAUAAAAAAAUUAAUAUUGAUUAAGUCAUUAAUAUUGUGUGAUAAUUUAUAAGUUUUCUUCCAAAAUUAAUAAGUUGUCCUUAAAAAAUUUUCAACUAGUAUAAAAAGCAUGUUUAUUUUGUAAAUAUCAUAUACACUAGUUAAGUUAUAAAUUUUUAGAUAAUGUGUGUGAAUAUCAAAAGUUAAUUUAUAAAUUGUGUGUGAAGAUUUGUAAAUAAUAGUAGUAAUAAUAAUAAUUUAAAUAUAUUAAAUUGUCAAUAUUUUAAUAUGAUAUUAUUAAAACAAAUAUAAUAUUUUUUAAUAAUUUACUAGUGUUGUUAUACCAAUAAUUGUGAUCCAUUAAUUACCUAAUAGCUAGUUAAACUAGUUGAUCAAAAUUGUCCUUUGGUCUUGUACUUGGAUAACAAAUAACAAGUGUACAUGUCCAGGUAUUUAUAUAUAAUUUAAGGGAUUUAAUUUAUAUUAAUUUUUUAUAAGAUAUUUGUGUGUAAUUUUUUGGGUCUUAUUUUAUAAAGUGAGAUUUUUUUUUUUACAAUUUUGGAAUCAACUAAUUAAAGUUAACUUUUUAACGGCAAAAUAUUUAAUGUAUCAUUUUUGAAUGUUGAAGGAAAAAAUUGCAUCACAUAAGUUAAGAAAAUCAUAUGCUUUUGAGCGAGCAAUUGAGAGGCAAAAACGAUACUCGAUGUAUAAUCACAGAAAUUUUAAAGAACAAAGCAAGAAAUAAAAAUAAUAAUGAGAUGUGUUUCUUUAAUUUCUGAGAGUCAAAUGAAAAUGAACAUCAUAUCUUGAUGAUAACUUUGAUACAAUCUGGUCGUUUCAAUAGCUCAAAUGCUUUGCCUACCUCUGUUAAAGGGACUCAUGGUUUUCAAGUCCAUCAAGAGGGAAAUCCUGUAAACAGGAGGAAAACAAUUAAUUAUUAUACUCUAUAAUUAUUUCUAAUCAGGUCAUUUAUUUACAAUAAGAUUUUUUUUUUUGUUGCGCAUUUUUGAAGAGUUUCUGGCAAUGAUCUAGAUUGAAUAUGCACGUGGACCUCGAAUCAAGAUUUCGUAUUUGUACCUAAGAUGUGUAUUAUUAGCAAACUUUAUUUAGACCCUCCAAAUUUAAGUUGUACCUAUUAUAUUUUUAAUAUUUAUAAUUAAUUUUUAA
This is a long non-coding RNA of Prosopis cineraria, 2701 nucleotides long. RefSeq lists it as uncharacterized. The transcript has 7 exons. NCBI's taxonomy places the organism in Eukaryota, Viridiplantae, Streptophyta, Magnoliopsida, Fabales, Fabaceae. The record is from RefSeq and is a predicted model, not a curated record.